Molecule: ribosomal RNA, 1458 nt
Filed under: metagenome
Description: bacterial SSU rRNA
Rfam family: Bacterial small subunit ribosomal RNA
Source: RNAcentral
AGAGUUUCAUCCUGGCUCAGGAUAAACGCUGGCGGCGUGCCUGACACAUGCAGGUCGAACGAACUUUAGCAAUAGAGUUAGUGGCGGAAGGGCGCGUAACACGUAGGUGACCUACCUCAUCGGAGGGAAUAACUAAUCGAAAGAUUGGCUAAUACCCAAAAGGCUUAGUGCAUCGGAGCAAUAAGCAGAGGCGAGCAAUCGGCCUGAUGAGAGGGACCUGCGGCCCAUCAGCUAGUUGGAGAGGUAACGGCUCACCAAGGCAACGACGGGUAGGGGCUCUGAGAGGAAAUCCCCCCACACUGGAACUGAAAUACGGUCCAGACACCUACGGGUGGCAGCAGUGAGGAAUAUUGGUCAAUCUGCGAAAGCGGGAACCAGCAACGCCGCGUGAAGGAAGAAGGCCCUCGGGUUGUAAACUUCUUUAGGGGAAGACGAGAAAGGACGGUAUUCCCAAAAUAAGCAACGGCAAACUACGUGCCAGCAGCCGCGGUAAUACGUAGGUUGCGAGCGUUAUCCGGAUUUACUGGGCGUAAAGCGCUUGUAGGCGGUAAUAUAAGUUGGGCGUGAAACCUCUGGGCUUAACCCGGAGCAUGCGCACAAUACUGUAAUACUAGAGGGUGUCAGAGGAAAACGGAAUUCCCGGUGUAGUAGUGAAAUGCGUAGAUAUCGGGAGGAACAUCAGUGGCGAAGGCGGUUUUCUGGGACAUUACUGACGCUGAGAAGCGACAGCUAGGGGAGCAAACAGGAUUAGAAACCCUGGUAGUCCUAGCCGUAAACGAUGGAUGCUAGGCGUUGGCAGACUCAAUCCUGUCCGCGCCGAAGUUAACACGAUAAGCGUCCCGCCUGGGAAGUACGACCGCAAGGUUAAAACUCAAAGGAAUUGACGGGGACCCGCACAAGCAGCGGAGCGUGUGGUUUAAUUCGAUGCUACACGAAGAACCUUACCCGGACUUGACAUAUAGAUGGUAGAGAAGAGAAAUUGGAUCGACUCGCAAGAGAGUUUAUACAGGUGUUGCAUGGCUGUCGUCAGCUCGUGUCGUGAGAUGUUCGUUUAAGUACGCUAACGAGCGCAACCCUCAUUGCCAGUUACAAGUGUCUGGCGAGACUGCCGGCCGCAAGCCGGAGGAAGGCGGGGAUGACGUCAAGUCAGCAUGGCCUUUAUGUCCGGGGCUACACACACGCUACAAUGGGAUGGAACAAUGGGAAGCCAAGCCGUGAGGCGGAGCAAAUCCUAGUAAAACAUUCCUCAGUUCAGAUUGCAGGCUGCAACUCGCCUGCAUGAAGUUGGAGUUGCUAGUAAACGCGCGUCAGCUAUAGUGCGUUGAAUACGUUCCCGGGUCUUGUACACACCGCCCGUCACACUAUGGGAGCUGGUAACACCUAAAGACAUUGGCUUAACCGCGAGGAGAGUAAUGUUUAGGGUGGGGUCGGUGACUGGAGUGAAGUCGUAACAAGGUA